RNAcentral lists this ribosomal RNA (254 nucleotides) under uncultured bacterium. RNAcentral's name for it is "partial 16S ribosomal RNA". It matches the Rfam family "Bacterial small subunit ribosomal RNA", at positions 524 to 776 of the family's 1533-position model. The record is from RNAcentral.
GACGAACCGUGCGAACGUUAUUCGGAAUCACUGGGCUUAAAGCGCGUGUAGGCGGGCCGGCACGUCCGGUGCUGAAAGCCCCCGGCUCAACCGGGGAAGGGGCGGCGAUACGACCGGCCUGGAGGGGGGUAGGGGGCGCCGGAACUGCCGGUGGAGCGGUGAAAUGCGUAGAUAUCGUUUGGAACGCCAAUGGUGAAAACAGCUCGCUGGGGAUGUGCCGACGCUGAGACACGAAAGCCAGGGGAGCGAACGGG